CCGGCUGUUCCAUCAGCCGUAACCUAAGGGUACAUGCAUGGUUGGUAACGACCAUGUGUGAAGCCACCCUGACAAUGUAACCUGCUC
Molecule: non-coding RNA, 87 nt
Organism: Candidatus Burkholderia brachyanthoides
Lineage: Bacteria; Pseudomonadati; Pseudomonadota; Betaproteobacteria; Burkholderiales; Burkholderiaceae
Source: Rfam